Molecule: ribosomal RNA, 468 nt
Filed under: uncultured bacterium
Lineage: Bacteria
Description: partial 16S ribosomal RNA
Rfam family: Bacterial small subunit ribosomal RNA
Source: RNAcentral
GACGAACGCUGGCGGCGUGCUUAACACAUGCAAGUCGAACGGAAAGGCCCUGCUUUUGUGGGGUGCUCGAGUGGCGAACGGGUGAGUAACACGUGAGUAACCUGCCCUUGACUUUGGGAUAACUUCAGGAAACUGGGGCUAAUACCGGAUAGGAGCUCCUGCUGCAUGGUGGGGGUUGGAAAGUUUCGGCGGUUGGGGAUGGACUCGCGGCUUAUCAGCUUGUUGGUGGGGUAGUGGCUUACCAAGGCUUUGACGGGUAGCCGGCCUGAGAGGGUGACCGGCCACAUUGGGACUGGGAUACGGCCCAGACUCCUACGGGAGGCAGCAGUGGGGAAUAUUGCACAAUGGGCGGAAGCCUGAUGCAGCAAGGCCGCGUGCGGGAUGACGGCCUUCGGGUUGUAAACCGCUUUCGCCUGUGACGAAGCGUGAGUGACGGUAAUGGGUAAAGAAGCACCGGCUAACUACGUG